Molecule: transfer RNA, 71 nt
Filed under: Microcaldota archaeon
Lineage: Archaea; Nanobdellati; Microcaldota
Also listed under: 2 other names
Description: tRNA-Gly
Rfam family: tRNA
About the family: Transfer RNA (tRNA) molecules are approximately 80 nucleotides in length.
Source: RNAcentral
GCGGCCGUAGUCUAGCGGUAGGAUUCUAGGUUGCCAAUCUAGCGACCCGGGUUCAAAUCCCGGCGGCCGCA